AGAGUUAGAAAAUAACUUCUUCACAGUGAAGAGAGGAGGAGAUGUUCCUGGCGAGCCUGGUUAACAUUUAUUCACAUUUAUUAGUUUAAAAGCUACUAAUAUUUAUAUGUGGCUCUGCAGUUCAGAUCUGUUCAUAAGUUUCUGGUAACAUUUUCAUUUCGACUUGUACAUUUUUUUUUAAUUACUAUUAAUAACUAGUGAAACAGCUUGUUGAUAGAAACACAUUAAGUGAGAUAGUUAAAUAUCUGAGUGUUUCUCUGUUUCUGCUGCUGUUUGCUGACCUGUAGUGAACUUUUUCACAGUCUGUGGUAGAAUCCAUUUAAUUUACUGGAACAGUAGCAGAAAAUGAACCAAUGGGCUGCUAAGCGUGCGCAAUGCCCUGCCCCAAUACGAGCGCGGAAGAAUCACACCACGUGUCCAGGCAGCUGGGCGGAGCCAAGAUGUUCAAGAGAGAUGCCAAGAAUGUAAAAAAAAAAAAAAAAGGAGGCUUGAUAAUAGAUGUGUCUCUCUGGUUUACGUGCAGCUCUACCCGUCACACCCACGGACCGCGCAAACCCCAAGAAAGUCUGCAGAACAUGAGACGGUCUCCAACGCUGACACGCUUAAAGCCAGUAACGGCCUAAAUGAUCGCUGUUCAAAGUUUGAAGAAAUGGUAAUCAAAAAUACAGCUGAGAUUGCAAUAAGAUAAGAAAGGGCUGCAAAUCCAGUGGAAAGGAACAGAUGACACAGUGAAGACGAUGAAAGAACAGAUCGCAGGAGGAAACAAGAAGAUCCAGAGCGUGACAGCAGGAGAACCUCCGACUUCUGAAUCUACCAGAAAGCAACAAUGAGGAUGUGAGAAAGGAGGUGCUGGAGGUCACUGCUGAAAUCAUCCCAGAGGAAAAGAGCCAAGACGGGAUAAAAGCACCCGCCCCGUCCUCAUACAGUUUACCACCAUGCGCACCUUCAGACUGAAGGUUUGGAGAGCUUCUCUCAACGCCGAUGUCAUGAAGGAAAAGAAUCUCACUCAGCUGGAAAGACUCUGGCCUCGAGUGAAGCAAGCUGAUGGAAAGAAGACCAAAUGGCAGGAACCUGCUGUCGUUAUCGAUGGUGUGAGACUCUGAGAAAGUUAAACGACUUUUAAUCACAUUCUGGAGGAACCUUGAGAAUUACAUAUAUUCUAAAACAACACAUACAAUCACAGUUGAAAGGAAAAAUGUCAUUAGCUACUUUGAAUCUAAAGAUAAGAACUUA
This is a long non-coding RNA of Micropterus salmoides (largemouth bass), 1233 nucleotides long. RefSeq lists it as uncharacterized. NCBI's taxonomy places the organism in Eukaryota, Metazoa, Chordata, Actinopteri, Centrarchiformes, Centrarchidae. The transcript has 2 exons. The record is from RefSeq and is a predicted model, not a curated record.